AUUGAACGCUGGCGGCAUGCCUUACACAUGCAAGUCGAACGGCAGCACGGGAGCAAUCCUGGUGGCGAGUGGCGAACGGGUGAGUAAUAUAUCGGAACGUGCCCAGUCGUGGGGGAUAACGCAGCGAAAGUUGUGCUAAUACCGCAUACGACCUGAGGGUGAAAGCGGGGGAUCGCAAGACCUCGCGCGAGAGGAGCGGCCGAUGGCGGAUUAGCUAGUUGGUGGGUAAAGGCCACCAAGGCGACGAUCCGUAGCGGGUCUGAGAGGACGGCCCGCCACACUGGGACUGAGACACGGCCCAGACUCCUACGGGAGGCAGCAGUGGGGAAUUUUGGGACAAUGGGGGCAACCCUGAUCCAGCCAUUCCGCGUGAGUG
Molecule: ribosomal RNA, 376 nt
Filed under: uncultured bacterium
Lineage: Bacteria
Description: bacterial SSU rRNA
Rfam family: Bacterial small subunit ribosomal RNA
Source: RNAcentral